GAAUCGCUAGUAAUCGCAGAUCAGAAUGCUGCGGUGAAUACGUUCCCGGGUCUUGUACACACCGCCCGUCACACCAUGGGAGUUGGAAAUGCCCGAAGUCAGUGACCGAACCGAAAGGAAGGAGCUGCCGAAGGUGGAGCCGAUGACUGGGGUGAAGUCGUAACAAGGUACC
RNAcentral lists this ribosomal RNA (172 nucleotides) under uncultured bacterium. RNAcentral's name for it is "partial 16S ribosomal RNA". It matches the Rfam family "Bacterial small subunit ribosomal RNA", at positions 1329 to 1500 of the family's 1533-position model. The record is from RNAcentral.